Molecule: non-coding RNA, 255 nt
Filed under: Leadbettera azotonutricia
Lineage: Bacteria; Pseudomonadati; Spirochaetota; Spirochaetia; Treponematales; Breznakiellaceae
Description: Treponema azotonutricium T-box sequence
Rfam family: T-box leader
About the family: Uncharged tRNA acts as the effector for transcription antitermination of genes in the T-box leader family. T-boxes are found upstream of many aminoacyl-tRNA synthetase genes and some amino acid biosynthetic genes usually in Gram-positive bacteria.
Source: RNAcentral
CUAAAUGCAUUGACGGAGACGAGUAAGCGUCACACCGGGUUACAGAGAGACCGUGCCAUGGCUGAAAGCGCGGUUAUCCAGGAAACGCCGAAAACCCCUCCCGAGCAGCUUGAGGAAAGGGCCGCCCCAACACGGCAGUCUGAAUAAUCAAAGCCGUAAAUCCACGUUAAGGAUGAUGAGCGCGCCUCCUGCCAUGGGAGAGCGAAGCGGGGUGGUACCGCGGGUUUCUUCUAUAAAUAAGAACCCGUCCCCGGC